AUACGGAGGGUCCGAGCGUUAUCCGGAAUCAUUGGGUUUAAAGGGUCCGUAGGCGGGAAUCUAAGUCAGUGGUGAAAUCUUGCAGCUCAACUGUAAAAUUGCCAUUGAUACUGGAUUUCUUGAAUUAGUGUGAAGUGAUUAGAAUGUGUAGUGUAGCGGUGAGAUGCAUAGAUAUUACACAGAAUACCAAUUGCGAAGGCAGAUCACUAACACUAUAUUGACGCUGAGGGACGAAAGCGUGGGGAGCGAACAGGAUUAGAAACCCUGGUAGUCC
RNAcentral lists this ribosomal RNA (274 nucleotides) under uncultured bacterium. RNAcentral's name for it is "partial 16S ribosomal RNA". It matches the Rfam family "Bacterial small subunit ribosomal RNA", at positions 523 to 796 of the family's 1533-position model. The record is from RNAcentral.